AUACGAAGGGGGCUAGCGUUGUUCGGAAUUACUGGGCGUAAAGCGCGCGUAGGCGGGUCGUUAAGUUAGAGGUGAAAUCCCAGAGCUCAACUCUGGAACUGCCUUUAAUACUGGCGACCUAGAGGCCGGUAGAGGUGAGUAGAAUUCCUAGUGUAGAGGUGAAAUUCGUAGAUAUUAGGAAGAAUACCAGUGGCGAAGGCGGCUCACUGGACCGGUACUGACGCUGAGGUGCGAAAGCGUGGGGAGCAAACAGGAUUAGAAACCCUAGUAGUCC
This 274-nucleotide ribosomal RNA is filed under the name uncultured bacterium. Its description in RNAcentral is "partial 16S ribosomal RNA". It matches the Rfam family "Bacterial small subunit ribosomal RNA", at positions 523 to 796 of the family's 1533-position model. The record is from RNAcentral.